GGCUUAACACAUGCAAGUCGAGGGGCAUCAGGAACAUAGCUUGCUUUCUUUGCUGGCGACCGGCGCACGGGUGAGUAACACGUAUCCAACCUGCCCUUUACUCGGGGAUAGCCUUUCGAAAGAAAGAUUGAUACCCGAUAGCAUAAUGAUUCCGCAUGGUUUCAUUAUUAAAGGAUUCCGGUAAAGGAUGGGGAUGCGUUCCAUUAGGUUGUUGGUGGGGUAACGGCCCACCAAGCCUUCGAUGGAUAGGGGUUCUGAGAGGAAGGUCCCCCACAUUGGAACUGAGACACGGUCCAAACUCCUACGGGAGGCAGCAGUGAGGAAUAUUGGUCAAUGGGCGCUAGCCUGAACCAGCCAAGUAGCGUGAAGGAUGAAGGCUCUAUGGGUCGUAAACUUCUUUUAUAUAAGAAUAAAGUGCAGUAUGUAUACUGUUUUGUAUGUAUUAUAUGAAUAAGGAUCGGCUAACUCCGUGCCAGCAGCCGCGGUAAUACGGAGGAUCCGAGCGUUAUCCGGAUUUAUUGGGUUUAAAGGGAGCGUAGGUGGACUGGUAAGUCAGUUGUGAAAGUUCGCGGCUCAACCGUAAAAUUGCAGUUGAUACUGUCAGUCUUGAGUACAGUAGAGGUGGGCGGAAUUCGUGGUGUAGCGGUGAAAUGCUUAGAUAUCACGAAGAACUCCGAUUGCGAAGGCAGCUCACUGGACUGCAACUGACACUGAUGCUCGAAAGUGUGGGUAUCAAACAGGAUUAGAUACCCUGGUAGUCCACACAGUAAACGAUGAAUACUCGCUGUUUGCGAUAUACAGUAAGCGGCCAAGCGAAAGCAUUAAGUAUUCCACCUGGGGAGUACGCCGGCAACGGUGAAACUCAAAGGAAUUGACGGGGGCCCGCACAAGCGGAGGAACAUGUGGUUUAAUUCGAUGAUACGCGAGGAACCUUACCCGGGCUUAAAUUGCAGUGGAAUGAUGUGGAAACAUGUCAGUGAGCAAUCACCGCUGUGAAGGUGCUGCAUGGUUGUCGUCAGCUCGUGCCGUGAGGUGUCGGCUUAAGUGCCAUAACGAGCGCAACCCUUAUCUUUAGUUACUAACAGGUCAUGCUGAGGACUCUAGAGAGACUGCCGUCGUAAGAUGUGAGGAAGGUGGGGAUGACGUCAAAUCAGCACGGCCCUUACGUCCGGGGCUACACACGUGUUACAAUGGGGGGUACAGAAGGCAGCUAGCGGGUGACCGUAUGCUAAUCCCAAAAGCCUCUCUCAGUUCGGAUCGAAGUCUGCAACCCGACUUCGUGAAGCUGGGUUCGCUAGUAAUCGCGCAUCAGCCACGGCGCGGUGAAUACGUUCCCGGGCCUUGUACACACCGCCCGUCAAGCCAUGGGAGCCGGGGGUACCUGAAGUACGUAACCGCAAGGAUCGUCCUAGGGUAAAACUGGUGACUGGGGCUA
RNAcentral lists this ribosomal RNA (1435 nucleotides) under uncultured organism. RNAcentral describes it as "SSU rRNA". It matches the Rfam family "Bacterial small subunit ribosomal RNA". The record is from RNAcentral.